This 682-nucleotide ribosomal RNA is filed under the name Pseudomonas sp. GM5. RNAcentral describes it as "bacterial SSU rRNA". It matches the Rfam family "Bacterial small subunit ribosomal RNA", at positions 60 to 736 of the family's 1533-position model. The record is from RNAcentral. Lineage: Bacteria; Pseudomonadati; Pseudomonadota; Gammaproteobacteria; Pseudomonadales; Pseudomonadaceae.
AGUCGAGCGGUAGAGAGAAGCUUGCUUCUCUUGAGAGCGGCGGACGGGUGAGUAAUGCCUAGGAAUCUGCCUGGUAGUGGGGGAUAACGUUCGGAAACGAACGCUAAUACCGCAUACGUCCUACGGGAGAAAGCAGGGGACCUUCGGGCCUUGCGCUAUCAGAUGAGCCUAGGUCGGAUUAGCUAGUUGGUGAGGUAAUGGCUCACCAAGGCGACGAUCCGUAACUGGUCUGAGAGGAUGAUCAGUCACACUGGAACUGAGACACGGUCCAGACUCCUACGGGAGGCAGCAGUGGGGAAUAUUGGACAAUGGGCGAAAGCCUGAUCCAGCCAUGCCGCGUGUGUGAAGAAGGUCUUCGGAUUGUAAAGCACUUUAAGUUGGGAGGAAGGGCAGUUACCUAAUACGUGAUUGUUUUGACGUUACCGACAGAAUAAGCACCGGCUAACUCUGUGCCAGCAGCCGCGGUAAUACAGAGGGUGCAAGCGUUAAUCGGAAUUACUGGGCGUAAAGCGCGCGUAGGUGGUUUGUUAAGUUGGAUGUGAAAUCCCCGGGCUCAACCUGGGAACUGCAUUCAAAACUGACUGACUAGAGUAUGGUAGAGGGUGGUGGAAUUUCCUGUGUAGCGGUGAAAUGCGUAGAUAUAGGAAAGGAACACCAGUGGCGAAGGCGACCACCUGGACUA